AUGAUAGCAAAUUGGAGUCAGUGUUAGCAAGACUCUCCCACUUGGAAAGACAAAAUAGUGUAUAGUCAUUCACACUGUGAACUCUAUUUCCAAGAAGAAAUGCAGAAACUUAACAGGAAAACGGAAAUCCACCAAUUCUCUGAAAGAAGCUGCAUGCUGCAGCCUACAUUGUAAGAAAUCUGACUGCAUUCUAUUAUCCAACUGGUCACCAGAUUUAUCAGUUCUACCUCCAUCAUGUCUAGAUUGCUGUUGAAUAUCUUUAAUAUAUCAAAACCUGCAAGGUGCUAGACAUACAAGAAAAAAUCCAAAUCUGUUGUUCUCCUUGUCUUGGAGCUGACCCUUUCCAGCAGAUGAUAUCACCUCUAAGAGAUGGGAGUCUCACUGUUUUGCCCAAGCUGGUCUUGAAUUCCUGGCCUCAAGUGUUCCUCCCGCCUCAGACUCGCAAAGUGCUGGGAUUACAGGCAGAAGUCACUGCUCCAGGCCACAUUAUUUUUAUGAUUAUUAUGAUUAAUACUUUUAAAUAGUUGUACUUUGGGUUCUUGGGAACCCAGAGAAAUAACAUUCUUCACAAAGUUAGUUCAAAGGAUUUUUUAAAGCUUAGUGCUACCGUUCUAAAUGACUUUUUAAAAGAAAAGCAUUCAGUAUUUUAAGAAACAUAUAAAUUGAAUUUUGUGAUUAUCUGAAUCGGUGUUUUAGUUAGCAAUGUAAUGAGAGUAAAAGUAACUAAACAUUAAACUUUCUAAUAGAUUUCAGUUCAAUACUAAUACUACAGGGUUGAUGCUUGCAUUUCUUAGAAAGAGCAGGAAAAUAAAUAUAUAUGUAUAUUUAAUUAUAAACAGAAGGCAGAGUUAGUUUACAACAUUUAAAAAAAAUCUAGAUUGCAUACUUUAAUUUUCACCAUGCAAAAAGUUGGAACUUGUAACUUCCAAUGAGUCAAUCUUUGGCUAUUUUUCACAAUCCACAAGUCCAUGGUUUUUCUAUAAAAUAAGCACUAGUAAUAAAAAUCACAGGACACUAUUUAAUAUGUUUGGUUGUAUUAUAAUAUUGAGAAUAAUUGGAGGAUAAAAUACUUUCUUUUAAAACAUCACCUUUUCAGUGUCUGUUUCAAAAAUAUAGAAUAAAUUUAAUUUUUAAAAUUCUCUAAGUUUUCUAUAACAUCUUGAAAUCAUUUGUGAUACUGUGAUGCCACAAUACCAGAGUGCCCCAGACUAAAAUAAAACAAAACAAUCAAAUAUACAAACAUAAAAAUAAAACCAGCCAAGUACAUAUGGGUGAAUAUGGUAUUUUUAUAGCAUUAAUUUAUGGGGUAGUUAGACAUUUCUUUUCUUUUUGCCAUUCGUGGGGUGUGAGUGAAUUAUAGAUGAUAUAAGAAUGUUGGUAUAUUGAUAAUCAUUGAAUCUGGAUGAUGGUAUGUGGAGGUUCAUUAUGCAAUUCUGUCAACUUUUUCUACAUUUGAAAUUUUCCAUAAUGAAAGUUGAAAAAAAAAACAGAAACAAAACAAACAAAUGAAAAACACCAUGAAGUGAAAAGACAAGCCACAAGGUAGAUGAAUGUUUUUGCAAUAAGAAUCACUAAAACAAGAUUAGUAUGCACAGAAAGAUUCGUAUGUAGACUAUUUAAAGAACUGCCAUAAAUCAACAAGA
RNAcentral lists this long non-coding RNA (1643 nucleotides) under Homo sapiens (human). RNAcentral describes it as "HSALNT0287906". The record is from RNAcentral. Lineage: Eukaryota; Metazoa; Chordata; Mammalia; Primates; Hominidae.